CCUACGGGCGGCUGCAGUGGGGAAUAUUGGACAAUGGGCGAAAGCCUGAUCCAGCCAUGCCGCGUGUGUGAAGAAAGCCUUCGGGUUGUAAAGCACUUUCAGUGGGGAAGAAAGCCUUGGGGCUAAUACCCUCGAGGAAGGACAUCACCCACAGAAGAAGCACCGGCUAACUCCGUGCCAGCAGCCGCGGUAAUACGGAGGGUGCGAGCGUUAAUCGGAAUUACUGGGCGUAAAGCGCGCGUAGGCGGUCUGAUAAGCCGGUUGUGAAAGCCCCGGGCUCAACCUGGGAACGGCAUCCGGAACUGUCAGGCUAGAGUGCAGGAGAGGAAGGUAGAAUUCCCGGUGUAGCGGUGAAAUGCGUAGAGAUCGGGAGGAAUACCAGUGGCGAAGGCGGCCUUCUGGACUGACACUGACGCUGAGGUGCGAAAGCGUGGGUAGCAAACAGGAUUAGAUACCCUUGUAGUC
RNAcentral lists this ribosomal RNA (465 nucleotides) under Vreelandella stevensii. RNAcentral describes it as "partial 16S ribosomal RNA". It matches the Rfam family "Bacterial small subunit ribosomal RNA", at positions 338 to 795 of the family's 1533-position model. Lineage: Bacteria; Pseudomonadati; Pseudomonadota; Gammaproteobacteria; Oceanospirillales; Halomonadaceae. The record is from RNAcentral.